CCAUAGACAUUGAUAGUCGGCGUUGUUGUCCGUUUGUUCGGUUGAAUCGAGACGAAGUGGUCGACGGGGAUGAGAAAGGGGAAGGAGUAGGAGUAGGGUAUGAGGACGGUAGGGGGUGGCACGAGGGGGGGUUGGUUGUGCGGCGGCGUCUGGACCGCGGAUAAUAGGAAGCUACCGGGGUAUCUCUGCUAAUCACGUUAAGUCCGGCAGACCGCUUUGUGCCCCGCGAACGAGCCACCGGCCGAAAUUCCCAAGUCCGAAACUCACGACCAACACGAACGCAAUCCUGUCAGCUUCUCCUCCUUCCCACAACUACCCCUUCUCUUCUCUCUCUCUCUC
This is a long non-coding RNA of Frieseomelitta varia, 339 nucleotides long. RefSeq lists it as uncharacterized. The transcript is spliced from 3 exons. The record is from RefSeq and is a predicted model, not a curated record. Lineage: Eukaryota; Metazoa; Arthropoda; Insecta; Hymenoptera; Apidae.